Non-coding RNA from Streptomyces autolyticus, 75 nucleotides. The record is from Rfam. Lineage: Bacteria; Bacillati; Actinomycetota; Actinomycetes; Kitasatosporales; Streptomycetaceae.
CUUGACCGAGCCGAGCCAUAGCGGCCGGCCCUCGGGCCGGUCCUGGCCGUACGUGGCGAUCAGGGCCUGGGCCUC